Molecule: ribosomal RNA, 301 nt
Filed under: uncultured bacterium
Lineage: Bacteria
Description: partial 16S ribosomal RNA
Rfam family: Bacterial small subunit ribosomal RNA
Source: RNAcentral
CAGUCGCCACGGUAAAACGUAGGGUGCGAGCGUUAAUCGGAAUUACUGGGCGUAAAGCGUGCGCAGGCGGUUUUGUAAGACAGGCGUGAAAUCCCCGGGCUCAACCUGGGAAUGGCGCUUGUGACUGCAAAGCUAGAGUGCGGCAGAGGGGAUGGAAUUCCGCGUGUAGCAGUGAAAUGCGUAGAUAUGCGGAGGAGCACCGAUGGCGAAGGCAAUCCCCUGGGCCUGCACUGACGCUCAUGCACGAAAGCGUGGGGAGCAAACAGGAUUAGAUACCCCUGUAGCCCCUGUCUCUUAUACA